Long non-coding RNA from Raphanus sativus (radish), 1035 nucleotides. RefSeq lists it as uncharacterized. The transcript has 4 exons. Lineage: Eukaryota; Viridiplantae; Streptophyta; Magnoliopsida; Brassicales; Brassicaceae. The record is from RefSeq and is a predicted model, not a curated record.
GUUUUGGAUUUGUCGUCCGGUCCAGAUGUGUAUCCAUAAUAUCAUAUAUACAAUGGGACAAGAGUGUCCACAUCAGCGUUUUUUUAAUGAUUGUGGGGUCCAUCUCCGGUUUUGUCUGGUCGAAUAGAUUUGGAGUUUGGUCUGAUUUGGGUUCUCCUUGUAACCCUUGGCUUUCCAAGAAUUGUGACGUCUCCUCUCCUCUCCUCCUCGGCAUCUCUCCUCCGUGAAGUUACCAAGCACCAUGAUACCUCCUCUCAUACUUCGUGACAGCUCUGCUCCUCUCCACCUAUCUUUUUCUUCUUCUCUGCUCUUCUCCAGACUCUUUCUCUCUCUCUCUCUCUCUCUCUCUCUCUCUCUCCACAUAUGUUCUUCUCUUUCCUCAGAUCUCUGCUCAUGUUUCCAUCUCAACCACCGGUUGAAGAAUCUAAGGGUGAGGACGAAUCAGAGGACCGAUGUGGUGAUGGCAAAGGAGGAGGGGAUUUGGUUUCUAAUGGUGGACUGGACGCUUGUCACUGAUGUCUACUCGGCGGUGGUUGAGUGAUAUGUUUUGUGUGGUUCACGGCAGGAGAAAGGGAUAUACAGAAAAAGAAAAAUGGAAAGUGAAGCCAUACCAGAGCAUUUGAUCAAACUCUUCCCUGUUGCACAGCCUGAAGCAUUUGAUCUGGUGGGUUAUGUCAUCUACGACAGUGGAAAUAACUAAAUAUCAAGAUACGACUCACAGAAGCUCAACAGCAGAAGACUGCUCUCAAAGACCUAAAGCCAGAGCAACUGGAGAAGUUCUCUAAGUUGGAGGAAUGGAGGCAAGAACUCAAGGCUUUGGAGGAUAAGGAGGAGGCCUAGCACUCUGCAGCAUCUGACAUGUAACUGUCUAGCUUUCAGACAGGUUGUAGCUUUUUCUCAUUAAAUUUGGUGGAACCAAUCCAAAUUUUGUAUGAAUUGAAAAGGAUGCUGUUCUUUGAGCUUUUUGUCAGAAGUCUGGUUAAUGAACUUGGCUCAAUGCCUAAAUCCUCAUGGGCAUUGAUGCCGCUUUGUGUA